UCUGGCGGCAGUAGCGCGGUGGUCCCACCUGACCCCAUGCCGAACUCAGAAGUGAAACGCCGUAGCGCCG
Molecule: ribosomal RNA, 70 nt
Filed under: Escherichia coli
Lineage: Bacteria; Pseudomonadati; Pseudomonadota; Gammaproteobacteria; Enterobacterales; Enterobacteriaceae
Also listed under: 1 other name
Source: RNAcentral